This 497-nucleotide ribosomal RNA is filed under the name uncultured bacterium. RNAcentral describes it as "partial 16S ribosomal RNA". It matches the Rfam family "Bacterial small subunit ribosomal RNA", at positions 28 to 507 of the family's 1533-position model. The record is from RNAcentral.
GACGAACGCUGGCGGCGUGCCUAAUACAUGCAAGUUGAGCGAUGAAGAUUGGUGCUUGCACCCAUUUGAAGAGCAGCGAACGGGUGAGUAACGCGUGGGGAAUCUGCCUUUGAGCGGGGGACAACAUUUGGAAACGAAUGCUAAUACCGCAUAACAACUUUAAACAUAAGUUUUAAGUUUGAAAGAUGCAAUUGCAUCACUCAAAGAUGAUCCCGCGUUGUAUUAGCUAGUUGGUGAGGUAAAGGCUCACCAAGGCGAUGAUACAUAGCCGACCUGAGAGGGUGAUCGGCCACAAUGGGACUGGGGCACGGCCCAAGCCCCUACGGGAGGCAGCAGUAGGGAAACAUCGGACAUGGACGAAAGGCUGACCGAGCAACGCCGGGGGAGGGAAGAAGGGUUUCGGAUCGUAAAACUCUGUUGGUAGAGAAGAAAGUUGGUGAGAGUGGAAAGCUCAUCAAGUGACGGUAACUACCCAGAAAGGGACGGCUAACUACGUG